UCAGGUAACACAGUAGUCAACAUGCCCAGGGGACGUGGAUAACCUCGGGAAACUGAGGAUACAACCGCGAUAGGUCACUACUUCUGGAAUGGGUAAUGACCCAGACCUAUAUGGACCCCUGGAUUGGACUGAGGCCGAUCAGGCUGUUGGUGAGGUAAUGGCCCACCAAACCUGUAACCGGUACGGGCUCUGAGAGGAGGAGCCCGGAGAUGGGCGCUGAGACAAGGGCCCAGAGACCUAUGGGGCGCAGCAGGCGCGAAACCUCUGCAAAUAGGCGAAACGCUUGACAGGGUUCACUCUGAGAUGAUUUCCGUUAAGGAGAUCUUCUUGGCACCUCUAAAAAUGGUAGCAAGAAUAAGGGGUGGG
This 366-nucleotide ribosomal RNA is filed under the name unidentified archaeon. Its description in RNAcentral is "bacterial SSU rRNA". It matches the Rfam family "Archaeal small subunit ribosomal RNA", at positions 90 to 446 of the family's 1478-position model. The record is from RNAcentral.